Molecule: non-coding RNA, 381 nt
Organism: Labrus bergylta (ballan wrasse)
Lineage: Eukaryota; Metazoa; Chordata; Actinopteri; Labriformes; Labridae
Source: RefSeq, a predicted model, not a curated record
UUGUACUUCUCGUCUCUUUUUCUCUGCUGCAUUUAUGUGCUACACAAGUGACUCCUGUGUUUGUGCAGACAGGAACAGAUUUACUUCUGGAAGUGAAGGAACCUGUUGUUCUGAAGGAGGCAGAUUUAUUUACAUGGAAUGUCAAUGGCAGUGAUAAUGCUGUGAGACUAGUUCAUGGUGGUAAACCAACCAUUUCCCCAAAUUAUACAUCUAGAGUAGAAUUGUCUGCACAAACUCACUCUCUACUGUUAAAGAACGUACAAAAGGAGGACAGUGGAGUUUACAGAGCACGUGUUUCUGCUGAUAAUAACUCAGAUGUAGCUGAAUACAGCGUCACAGUUCUGGAUCCAGUGUCUGGAGUGAAGCUGACAGUGAAACUCU